AGUUGGUCUGAAAUAAGGCAUGCUUGUGCUCAUAACAGCAUCUCAUAGAGAGCUUAGUGAAAACCUAUCAUCAAAUAUAGGUGGAUCUGGUUUUUGUGAACAAAACAUAGCAUCAUACUAGACUUUCUGAAGAAAACAAUUCCGUUCCAGCUGAAAUUAAGACACUUCUUUACUGGCAUCAAGGAUGUGGACAUCUUUUAAAACCUGAACAAAGAACUUGCAGCCUAAGCAUUAUGGCAAAAACAGACAAAGGAAGAAAAGAAGCCUGAAGAGCAAGUCAUGGCUAGACAGCUAUGUAAUAUAAGAUGAUCAUAUAAAACUGUUAUUCAACGGAUAGAAAAUUAUCACAUGAGAGAUUUCACCAGAGGUUUUGCUCCUCUGUACAUAAACAAUAAGA
This is a non-coding RNA of Phasianus colchicus (ring-necked pheasant), 397 nucleotides long. NCBI's taxonomy places the organism in Eukaryota, Metazoa, Chordata, Aves, Galliformes, Phasianidae. The record is from RefSeq and is a predicted model, not a curated record.